CACGUAGUUAGCCGGGGCUUCUUAGUCAGGUACCGUCAUUUUCUUUCCUGCUGAUAGAGCUUUACGUACCGAAAAUACUUCUUCACUCACGCGGCGUCGCUGGAUCAGGGUUUCCCCCAUUGUCCAAUAUUCCCCACUGCUGCCUCCCGUAGGAGUUUGGGCCGUGUCUCAGUCCCAAUGUGGCCGUCCACCCUCUCAGGCCGGCUACUGAUCGUCGCCUUGGUGGGCCGUUACCCGCCAACCAGCUAAUCAGACGCGGGCCCAUCCCAUACCACCGGAGUUUUUCACACACCUUCAUGCGAAGCUGUGCGCCUAUGCGGUUUUAGCACCUGUUUCCAGGUGUUAUCCCCCGGUAUGGGGCAGGUUGCCCACGCGUUACUCACCCGUCCGCCACUAACUUACACUUCCGUAGUCAAUGCAAGCAUCUCCUGCUUCUGUGUAAGUCCGUUGACUUGCUAUGUGUUAGGCACGCCGCAGCGUUCAUCCUGAGUCCAGGACUACAAACUUCUCUGACGUACCG
Molecule: ribosomal RNA, 520 nt
Filed under: uncultured Lachnospiraceae bacterium
Lineage: Bacteria; Bacillati; Bacillota; Clostridia; Lachnospirales; Lachnospiraceae
Description: partial 16S ribosomal RNA
Source: RNAcentral